RNAcentral lists this ribosomal RNA (338 nucleotides) under Streptomyces sp. DconLS. RNAcentral's name for it is "bacterial SSU rRNA". It matches the Rfam family "Bacterial small subunit ribosomal RNA", at positions 1 to 341 of the family's 1533-position model. The record is from RNAcentral. RNAcentral also lists the same sequence under 1 other name. Lineage: Bacteria; Bacillati; Actinomycetota; Actinomycetes; Kitasatosporales; Streptomycetaceae.
CAUUCACGGAGAGUUUGAUCCUGGCUCAGGACGAACGCUGGCGGCGUGCUUAACACAUGCAAGUCGAACGAUGAAGCCCUUCGGGGUGGAUUAGUGGCGAACGGGUGAGUAACACGUGGGCAAUCUGCCCUGCACUCUGGGACAAGCCCUGGAAACGGGGUCUAAUACCGGAUAUGACCAUCUUGGGCAUCCUUGAUGGUGUAAAGCUCCGGCGGUGCAGGAUGAGCCCGCGGCCUAUCAGCUUGUUGGUGAGGUAAUGGCUCACCAAGGCGACGACGGGUAGCCGGCCUGAGAGGGCGACCGGCCACACUGGGACUGAGACACGGCCCAGACUCCUA